Molecule: ribosomal RNA, 1204 nt
Filed under: Anaerococcus tetradius
Lineage: Bacteria; Bacillati; Bacillota; Tissierellia; Tissierellales; Peptoniphilaceae
Description: bacterial SSU rRNA
Rfam family: Bacterial small subunit ribosomal RNA
Source: RNAcentral
CGGACGGGUGAGUAACGCGUGAGUAACCUGCCUUACACAAGGGGAUAGCCGUUGGAAACGACGAAUAAUACCCUAUGACAUARACUCUUCGCAUGAAGAGCUUAUCAAAGAUUUAUCGGUGUAAGAUGGACUCGCGUCUGAUUAGCUAGUUGGUGAGGUAACGGCCCACCAAGGCAACGAUCAGUAGCCGGCUUGAGAGAGUGUACGGCCACAUUGGGACUGAGACACGGCCCAGACUCCUACGGGAGGCAGCAGUGGGGAAUUUUGCACAAUGGGGGAAACCCUGAUGCAGCGACGCCGCGUGAUUUAGAAGGCCUUCGGGUUGUAAAAAUCUUUUGUAUGGGAAGAAAAUGACAGUACCAUACGAAUAAGGACCGGCUAAUUACGUGCCAGCAGCCGCGGUAAUACGUAAGGUCCGAGCGUUGUCCGGAAUCAUUGGGCGUAAAGGGUACGUAGGCGGAUAAGCAAGUUAGAAGUGAAAUCCUAUAGCUCAACUAUAGUAAGCUUUUAAAACUGCUCAUCUUGAGGUAUGGAAGGGAAAGUGGAAUUCCUAGUGUAGCGGUGAAAUGCGCAGAUAUUAGGAGGAAUACCGGUGGGCGAAGGCGACUUUYUGGCCAUWAACUGACGNUGAGGUACGAAAGCGUGGGUAGCAAACAGGAUUAGAUACCCUGGUAGUCCACGCCGUAAACGAUGAGUGUUAGGUGUCUGGAAUAAUCUGGGUGCCGCAGCUAACGCAAUAAACACUCCGCCUGGGGAGUACGCACGCAAGUGUGAAACUCAAAGGAAUUGACGGGGACCCGCACAAGCAGCGGAGCAUGUGGUUUAAUUCGACGCAACGCGAAGAACCUUACCAAGUCUUGACAUAUUACGGAGGGAAUUAGAGAUAGUUCCUUACUUCUUCGGAAGACUGUAAUACAGGUGGUGCAUGGUUGUCGUCAGCUCGUGUCGUGAGAUGUUGGGUUAAGUCCCAUAACGAGCGCAACCCCUAUAUUUAGUUACCAUCAUUAAGUUGGGGACUCUAGAUAUACUGCCGGUGAUAAACCGAAGGAAGGUGGGGAUGACGUCAAAUCAUCAUGCCCUUUAUGACUUGGGCUACACACGUGCUACAAUGGCAGGUACACAGGGAAGCAAGACUGCGAAGUUAAGCAAAACUCAAAAAGCCUGUCCCAGUUSGGAUUGCACUCUGCAACUCGAGUGCAGAAGU